CAGAUCUCAUAAAUGAAUAGAUGGAUAAAUGAAUGAAGUAAUAAUUUGAAGAAAAAGUAUACAAACUAAGGUACUUCUAGAAAAACAGGAGCCAAGAAUAUUGAAAAUUAGUCAUAAAAAUUAGUAAGAAUUAAUGCAUUCUUCUAUACAAAUUCUAACCCAAAAUAAUUCGAAUGACUUAUUUGUUCUUGGAUAUCAUCUUCUACUUUUCCCUUUGGUCACAUAAUUCCAGCCACACUUGCCUUCUGGUGUUCCCUGACACAGCGUAUCCUCCCCUCAGCGUAUCCUUCACACUGGCUUUUCGUUCUGCCAUUUCUGAGUUGGGUGCUUGACCAACUCUUUCACUUCCUCUCAGUGUUUGCUCAAAUAUCACUUUCUCAGAGACCAACCCCGAACCUUCAUGGGAUUUAUUUCCCAACUUCUGGGGCACCAAGUGUGAACAUGGCCUCCAUCAUACUUGCUAUUUUGUGGUCAUUCACUGAUUGAAUUAAUGUUAUUAACAUAGUAGAGAGGAGGAUAAUUAACAUAGCCUUUGGGCAAGCAUAUGUGUGCUGUUAUCCUUUCCACAUAGAUACAAGCUGCUUUUGAUUUUUCUAGAGAGAGGAUGCGAGGAAUGUAUUGCUUAAUCAAUGGCUGCAUACCAUAUACAUGAGGCUGUAUUAACCUUCUCAAUGAAUAUGCUACAUCAGACACAACGUUAGAGUUAAAAUUAUUACUUGGUUGAGAUGAAUUAGUCUACUGUUGUUCAUUAGGUUUAAUAUGAGGAGACAGCAGGGGAAUAUUGGGAACCACCACUUUUCCAUUCUCAGUUUUUAUGGAGGCAUUAAUCUCUACUGUCUGCCCUAUAUGCAGUAUUUUGUAUUUAAUAUCUUAGCUAAAAUAAGGAGGCAGUUUCAUAGACCUUUGCUUGGCCUGCUUCACUAUUAUACCUUUUAUUUUAUUUAUAAGCCAAUAAGCCGAAGUAUGAGUUCUGCCAACUACCAGUAUUGUUUGUAUUAAUAUAUUCAAGGGCCAGAAAUAUAACCACCUACAACUGUGGAAGCAACAGACCCACUGUGAGCCAGAUUCCAUUUAUUAUCUGAUUCCUAAACACCUCUAAUUUGUUUUUAUUUAUUUUUGAGGCAGGGUGUUGAUCUGUCACCCAGGUUGGAGUGCAGCAGUGAGAUCAUGGCUCACUACAGCCUCAACUUCCUGGGCUCAAGUGAUCUUUCUGCCUAGGCUUCCCAAGUAGCUGAAACUACAGAUGUACAUUACCAUGCCUGGUGAAUUUUUUAAUUAUUUCUUGAGAUGAGAUCUUGCUGUGUUGCCCAGGCUAGUCUUGAACUCCUGGCCUCAGGUGAUCCUCCCACUUCUGCCUCCCAAAGUGCUGGGAUUACAGGUGUGAGCCACCACACUCAGCCAACACCCCCUAUUUGAAUAGCAAGUCACGAUGGAACUUUGAGUUCGUGGGUAUGAAUGUCAAAUUUGACCACAUGUUCAACUGUCCUAAAAGUGUUUGUGUGUUCCCCAUUUUAGCGUAUUGAGUCCCCUUUAUAAAUGGUCACAGGUCACACUGGGAAAGAACUAAGGAAAUCAUUGCAGUAUUAAUUUAUCAUAUUAUUCUGAGGGUCUCUUUCUCAAUGGAACACUGGGACCCAUUUUCUAUUUUUUACAAAGUUCAACUUUGAGAACUGGUUCAAUCAGAAAUUGGACAAUGAAUCUUUACAUUGCAGUCACCUAAAAAUCUGUUAUUUAUUUUUUGGUUCUACAAAUUGAGGAAUACCCUUGUUAUCAGUCCAUCAAUCUUAUUCUUAGAAGUGUCUAUACCUAUCGUCAUAGCUCUCUGUUAGCCAUGCCCCCUGACAGUCACUUAAACCUUUAGCUCAUUACAUUUCAAAGUUAAGCACGGCCACCUGGUCUCUAUUAUUUUUAGUUGUUGUAUCUCCCUUGCUUUCAGGAAGUCCAAUUCUGUAAUAGUACUUCCUACCCUGGGCUACCAUCAACCCUAGUCUACAGAGAAUUCCCAUCACUGAAAUUCUCAACAAUUCUGAUCCUCAUCUCGGUAGUGCAUUUCUUAUCACUUUGCUAAAUACAAUGUCCCCCAGGCCUUCCUUUGGGACAGGGUUUUCUGUCUUACAUAGUAUAUCCAGCUGAAUAUAUUCCAUAUAUUGAUGCUUUUGAUCCCUUCAUCCGCCAUUUAUUACGUCAGUUCCAGCAUUUUCUCUUCACAGUCUGGGGCUGUUACUUCCUAUAAGCUUCCAAGUGUCCAACUAGCCACUCAUUAGCAUCCUGUACUUGGGGCCUUGCCUAUGUCACAGGAUAAUUCUCCUAUAUUAAUAAAUACUCACUAAUCGAAUUUCUCAUUACAUCUUGCUUGAUCUUAAACAUUCCAAAUAUAAUUUCAUAUAUUCUGUACAAUUGAUGCUGAGCCAUGUUGGCUAUACAUUACCAUUAUUGUGUGAACUACUAUGAGUUCAUGGAUUUGUUUUUCAGUCACACACUUCCUGGGCUACAUUUCCUUCCACUUUUACCCCAUUGCAAAGAACUACCAGUGAAAUUUUAGCAAUUGUAUGACCUUAACCAAUGAGGGGCUAUAAGUUCUUUACUUGACCCUAGAGAAGUAUUUGACAUUUUAAUCCAGCUGACAGGUCAUCCAGUUCCAAAAUCAAUUUCCUGUAAGGGAUUUUGAUAACUGCUUUAGGUCAAUUUUCCUAGACAGUAACCCUGUGAUGGCUAUUUCCACAUAAGAAUACUGUUUCACUAAGUGGUCAAGCUGUGCCACAAGAUAGAAUAUAUCUCAAGUGUUGCCAAGAUGGAAAGACAGAUAUUGUACCAUCCAGGAAAUAUACUAGUUCAUGAUUCAAGCUUGCUAAGAGCAAACAACACUUAACACCAGGCUCAACAUUUACAUACAGCAAGUGUAGAGAGUGAGUGCAUAAGACCCAGUCCUUUGUAGUGUGUGGAUUCCCCAUGACUGGUGUAUCCAUAGAGCAGCCAUCAUGGAAUAGUGUGGCUGCACCCAUCCAACUUAGUACUCCAGUAGGGGCUCUGACACAUGCAUAGCUAAACAGUUUCAAGAGAAGUUUACAUGCGUCUUAUACAGAGAGAACAGGGACCAACUGGUGAUGCUUUUAGUUCUUUGCAUACAAUGAGAUUUGUGAGUUUGUCAGAAUGUCUUGUACUGAGCACAUGGUUCUUCUUGGGAACAUAAAGGACACAUUAGGCUGCACUUGGAUCUUUCCCUCACUGUUUACCCCUGACUCUCAUGUGUCCUGCAAAAGUAGACCUUAUGCAUCACUUACAUAGACCUGUCAACCAUUAGAUGAUUAGCCAUAGCUGUGUCCCUUUGUCCCAGUACUGCUUGUAUUAUCUGUGAUACCUAUAAGAACUCAUGGAGAUCCUGUCAAUUGAAGCAGCACUGAUAAGGUCCAGGAGGCAGCCCACUCCAGAAUGAUAAUCAAGACUGCUUGGAGAAGAGUCUACAACUUUCACCCUACAUGCCCAAAUUCAGCCAGUUGACAAGGUCAAGUAUUAACUAUAAUGGAGAGAGGAAGAAAGUGACAUUCUUGGGCAUGGAUCAAU
This 3561-nucleotide long non-coding RNA is filed under the name Homo sapiens (human). RNAcentral describes it as "HSALNT0063649". Lineage: Eukaryota; Metazoa; Chordata; Mammalia; Primates; Hominidae. The record is from RNAcentral.